RNAcentral lists this transfer RNA (90 nucleotides) under Kitasatospora herbaricolor. RNAcentral's name for it is "tRNA-Arg". Lineage: Bacteria; Bacillati; Actinomycetota; Actinomycetes; Kitasatosporales; Streptomycetaceae. The record is from RNAcentral.
GGGCCGGCUGCCCGGGCGGGGUCGGCCAUGCGUCGGCCGGGGGUGCGGCCGGGGCCGGCCGGCAGGCGUGUUCGACGGUCGUCAGGACCU